This 465-nucleotide ribosomal RNA is filed under the name uncultured bacterium. Its description in RNAcentral is "partial 16S ribosomal RNA". It matches the Rfam family "Bacterial small subunit ribosomal RNA", at positions 339 to 795 of the family's 1533-position model. The record is from RNAcentral.
CUACGGGAGGCACCAGUGGGGAAUAUUGGACAAUGGGGGAAACCCUGAUCCAGCAAUGCCGCGUGUGUGAAGAAGGCCUGCGGGUUGUAAAGCACUUUCGGUUGGGAGGACUGCUUCUAGCACUAAUAUUGUUGGAAGUUGACGUUACCUUCAGAAGAAGCACCGGCUAACUCCGUGCCAGCAGCCGCGGUAAUACGGAGGGUGCAAGCGUUAAUCGGAAUUACUGGGCGUAAAGCGCGCGUAGGCGGCUAGAUCAGUCGGGUGUGAAAGCCCCGGGCUUAACCUGGGAACUGCAUCCGAUACUGUCUAGCUCGAGUACAGGAGAGGAGAGUGGAAUUCCACAUGUAGCGGUGAAAUGCGUAGAUAUGUGGAGGAACACCAAUGGCGAAGGCAGCUCUCUGGCCUGAUACUGACGCUGAGACGCGAAAGCGUGGGGAGCAAACAGGAUUAGAUACCCGAGUAGUC